RNAcentral lists this ribosomal RNA (461 nucleotides) under uncultured bacterium. RNAcentral's name for it is "bacterial SSU rRNA". It matches the Rfam family "Bacterial small subunit ribosomal RNA", at positions 28 to 526 of the family's 1533-position model. The record is from RNAcentral.
GAUGAACGCUGGCGGCGUGCCUAAUACAUGCAAGUCGAGCGGUAAGGCCACUUCGGUGGUACACGAGCGGCGGACGGCUGAGUAACACGUAGGAACAUACCCCAAACUGAGGGAUAAGCAUCGGAAACGAUGUCUAAUACCGCAUGUGCUCUUCGGAGUAAAGCUACGGCGGUUUGGGAAUGGCCUGCGCAUGAUUAGCUUGUUGGUGAGGUAAUGGCUCACCAAGGCGACGAUCAUUAGCUGGUCUGAGAGGAUGAUCAGCCAGACUGGGACUGAGAACGGCCCAGACUCCUACGGGAGGCAGCAGUAGGGAAUUUUCCACAAUGGGCGAAAGCCUGAUGGAGCAACGCCGCGUGCAGGAUGAAUGCCUUCGGGUUGUAAACUGCUUUUAUAUGUGACGAUUAUGACGGUAGCAUAUGAAUAAGGAUCGGCUAACUCCGUGCCAGCCGCCGCAGUAAAAC